UACGGAGGAUGCGAGCGUUAUCCGGAUUUAUUGGGUUUAAAGGGUGCGUAGGCGGUCUGUUAAGUCAGCGGUAAAAUUGCGGGGCUCAACCCCGUCGAGCCGUUGAAACUGGCAGACUUGAGUUGGCGAGAAGUACGCGGAAUGCGCGGUGUAGCGGUGAAAUGCAUAGAUAUCGCGCAGAACUCCGAUUGCGAAGGCAGCGUACCGGCGCCACACUGACGCUGAGGCACGAAAGCGUGAGGAUCGAACAGG
RNAcentral lists this ribosomal RNA (252 nucleotides) under uncultured bacterium. RNAcentral describes it as "partial 16S ribosomal RNA". It matches the Rfam family "Bacterial small subunit ribosomal RNA", at positions 524 to 776 of the family's 1533-position model. The record is from RNAcentral.